RNAcentral lists this non-coding RNA (108 nucleotides) under Oscillibacter sp. 1-3. RNAcentral's name for it is "TPP riboswitch aptamer (THI element)". It matches the Rfam family "TPP riboswitch aptamer (THI element)". Rfam says of the family: Vitamin B(1) in its active form thiamin pyrophosphate (TPP) is an essential coenzyme that is synthesised by coupling of pyrimidine and thiazole moieties in bacteria. Lineage: Bacteria; Bacillati; Bacillota; Clostridia; Eubacteriales; Oscillospiraceae. The record is from Rfam by way of RNAcentral. RNAcentral also lists the same sequence under 1 other name.
CAACAUAGUAGGGGGAGCUUGUGUGACAGGCAGAGAGGAAGGUAGACCUUCGACCCUUGAACCUGAUGCGGAUAAUGCCGCUGUAGGGAGUCACAGAAAAUUCUACUU